GAUAAGCCCUUACGGGGAAAGAUUUAUCGCCGAAAGAUCGGCCCGCGUCUGAUUAGCUAGUUGGUGAGGUAAUGGCUCACCAAGGCGACGAUCAGUAGCUGGUCUGAGAGGAUGAUCAGCCACAUUGGGACUGAGACACGGCCCAAACUCCUACGGGAGGCAGCAGUGGGGAAUAUUGGACAAUGGGCGCAAGCCUGAUCCAGCCAUGCCGCGUGAGUGAUGAAGGCCCUAGGGUUGUAAAGCUCUUUUGUGCGGGAAGAUAAUGACGGUACCGCAAGAAUAAGCCCCGGCUAACUUCGUGCCAGCAGCCGCGGUAAUACGAAGGGGGCUAGCGUUGCUCGGAAUCACUGGGCGUAAAGGGUGCGUAGGCGGGUCUUUAAGUCAGGGGUGAAAUCCUGGAGCUCAACUCCAGAACUGCCUUUGAUACUGAAGAUCUUGAGUUCG
This 444-nucleotide ribosomal RNA is filed under the name Bradyrhizobium sp. RNAcentral's name for it is "bacterial SSU rRNA". It matches the Rfam family "Bacterial small subunit ribosomal RNA", at positions 172 to 650 of the family's 1533-position model. The record is from RNAcentral. Lineage: Bacteria; Pseudomonadati; Pseudomonadota; Alphaproteobacteria; Hyphomicrobiales; Nitrobacteraceae.